GGAAUGAGCCAUGGCCGAAAUCUACAUGGCCUUUGGAUUGGACUGCGGCCGAUCAGGCUGUUGGUGAGGUAAUGGCCCACCAAACCUGUUACCGGUACGGGCUUUGAGAGAAGUAGCCCGGAGAUGGGCACUGAGACAAGGGCCCAGGCCCUAUGGGGCGCAGCAGGCGCGAAACCUCUGCAAUAGGCGAAAGCCUGACAGGGUUACUCUGAGUGAUGCCCGCUAAGGGUAUCUUUUGGCACCUCUAAAAAUGGUGCAGAAUAAGGGGUGGGCAAGUCUGGUGUCAGCCGCCGCGGUAAUACCAGCACCCCGAGUUGUCGGGACGAUUAUUGGGCCUAAAGCAUCCGUAGCCUGUUCUACAAGUCCUCCGUUAAAUCCACCUGCUCAACAGAUGGGCUGCGGGGGAUACUAUAGGGCUAGGAGGCGGGAGAGGCAAACGGUACUCAGUGGGUAGGGGUAAAAUCCAUUGAUCUACUGAAGACCACCAGUGGCGAAGGCGGUUUGCCAGAACGCGCUCGACGGUGAGGGAUGAAAGCUGGGGGAGCAAACCGGAUUAGAUACCCGGGUAGUCCCAGCCGUAAACGAUGCAGACUCGGUGAUGGGUUGGCUUCGCGCCAACCCAGUGCCGCAGGGAAGCCGUUAAGUCUGCCGCCUGGGGAGUACGGUCGCAAGACUGAAACUUAAAGGAAUUGGCGGGGGAGCACCACAAGGGGUGAAGCCUGCGGUUCAAUUGGAGUCAACGCCGGA
RNAcentral lists this ribosomal RNA (747 nucleotides) under uncultured archaeon. RNAcentral describes it as "bacterial SSU rRNA". It matches the Rfam family "Archaeal small subunit ribosomal RNA", at positions 172 to 922 of the family's 1478-position model. The record is from RNAcentral.